This 253-nucleotide ribosomal RNA is filed under the name uncultured bacterium. RNAcentral describes it as "partial 16S ribosomal RNA". It matches the Rfam family "Bacterial small subunit ribosomal RNA", at positions 524 to 776 of the family's 1533-position model. The record is from RNAcentral.
UACAGAGGGGGCAAGCGUUAUUCGGAAUUAUUGGGCGUAAAGGGCGCGUAGGCGGCCUUCUAAGUCAGACGUGAAAUCCCCCGGCUUAACCUGGGAACUGCGUCUGAUACUGGGAGGCUUGAGUAUGGGAGAGGGAUGUAGAAUUCCAGGUGUAGCGGUGAAAUGCGUAGAUAUCUGGAGGAAUACCGGUGGCGAAGGCGGCAUCCUGGACCAUUACUGACGCUGAGGCGCGAAAGCUAGGGGAGCAAACGGG